UUCAAAUAUCUCUUUAUUGAUAGAUGAUAUGAGUUUAUAUACAACGCCAACAUGUGUCUCCAAAGGAGGCGUCUAUUUCGAAAGGUUGCCUCCAAAGGAUGCAACGCUCUAGGGUGAAAAUCUCCUCACGGUUGUAACAACCCAUGCAUGAAGAGCGGGGAUUAUUCCAUAAUUAAUGAUGGGUUAAUUAUUUUUAACACUCUUCCUAAUCACCGAUUGACUGCAUAUGGAUUCAUCAUGUUGAUUAUGUCUCCUUCAUAUGAGGAGUGGUGUAGGAUAUGCUGUUAAAACUCCUUCCAACCCAGUGGGAAAAAUAAGAAGAAAAUGAUGCAACAUAUAAUGAUUAUUAUCUCUUUUAACUCAAUACAAGAAAACUCAGAGAGUUUAGAGGACAAUAAAUAUGUCGUAUGUACUUUCCUAAAAAACCCGAUGGGGAAACAUAAACCAUGACAUAUGAUCUCAUGUUGAUAUUAUCUCAUUAAAAACCUUUAUGAGAACCUGUAAAGUAAACUCAUGAAGGGAAAAAGAGUAUAACAUGAUGCAUUGAACAUGAACAAUUCAGGAAGACACCCCCCCUGAUUCUUGCAAAUUUCGAAGCCAUCACAUACCAAUUCCAUGAACACAUUCUGAAAUGUAAAAGUUGGUAGAGACUUGGUGAACAAAUCAGUUGCAUGAUUUGACUCGCAAGUUAUGCAAUAUAAAGAUAUUGCUUAUUAGUAACCUGUUUGCAUCCGAGCAACACAAGCAACAUUAUCGUUGAGAUAAUGGUUGGUGGAUGUAGCCAUGAGAUCUGUUUCAAAGACUCUUUACGAGAGGGCUACCACACCUAGUAGGAACACCAACCUAGUCUAUGAUCUAACAUAGUAGGGAUCUGAUUGAUGUAUCCAAUGAUAUUGGUGUCCAGAUUUCUAUCACAAUGAAAGAUUAGGACAAAAUAUUUGAUGCAUUGGAGAUAUCGAAAGAUAUUCUUAAUCUUAACCAAUUGUGUUUGGUGGAUCGAAUGCAUAAGCUGUGAUAUGGAACUUUAUGUCCCAACAUCAUAUUUCCAUCUCCUCAUGGUCUAAAUGAAUCUUUCUCUAUGUCUAGAGAACGGAUAACCAUGGGAAUUAUGGAUAAGACUUGUCCACAAUCAAUUUGUCCAAUAUAAUCUUGACAUAGACAAUAUGGUGUACCAUAAUGUACGAAUGAAGAUGCUCAAGUUGUAGUAACGAGCGGUAUUUCGGUUUACCCAAAUUCUGUUGGAAAGAUGUAUUCAAAUUUGUCUUUCCCGCUUCCAAAAAAUUCCGCUAGUUCGACGAUCAUCAUGCUACAAGUCGGCGAUCAAGAUGCCAUAGUUCGGCGAUAAAACACACCCAUUAGUUCGACGAUUAAAAGGAAGGAAUCAUAGACAUGGAACGAAUGAAACGGUUGGCUCCUCUGCCACGGGACCGGCCGAGGUCGGCGCACACGUGGGCGUAGUCGGGCUCGAGCUCGGCGUCGGCGUAGUCGGGCUCGGAAUCGGUGUGGUUUAUGUGCUCGGGCUGGGCAUCGUCAUUGGUGUUGCCAUCGUGGUCGCCGCCGGUGCGAGCAUGCGGUUUAAGAUGAGGCCGCACUCCGCGAGGUACCAUGCCUUCACUUGCUUGUCCAUCGUUGACAUAUAUGCCGCCAUCAAGAACACCAGGUCGGUGUUCCUCUUCUUCGCAGCGACGUUGGUCCUGAGAAGGUCGAGCUUGACGUCCUACUUCGUCAUCAACGCCGACCACGCGCGUCGGAUUUCUCCUCCUCUUGGCGGCGAUGGUCUUGGUGUUGGCAAUACAUUGCUCAAUCAAAGAUUGCAGCCGAUCGGCAGCGGGCACCACGGCCCUCGCCGUCUUGGCUCUUUUGUUGCCAUCGGGGAGCCCUUCUGCCGCGAUCGGGGCAGGCGUGUCCGGAUUGUAGGUCUCCUUGGCCUUGGCGUGUGACAGCCCGAUGCCGACGUUCCAGAAGAUUCCCCUUCUAUUCCGUUUUCGUCGUGUGGUUAUUUUUAUUUGUUGCAUCAUCAUCGCAUCUUGCGCAUCAUCAGCAUUCCAUCGGCAUAUCUGUUGCCGCCAGUUUUCAAAAGUUGCAUCCGUUGUUAGUUCCCGGUUCUCGUCGUUGUCCGUUCUCAGCCCGACCACACACGCACGCGCCCGCGACAUCGUCUAAAUCCUUGUUUUUAAAAUUGUGUAUCAAACUUUCUCUGAUAGGUUCGAAACUUGGUGUGCGGUCUUAUUUUAAUAUAGGUAGGCCGUAUGCCAAUUUUCAUCGCUAUCGGAGUUCGACGGUACCCGAACGGUCGCGCCGUAGCGGCACCGUAUUCGGUUACCGUCGGACGUUUUCGUUGUUUUAAACCCCGAUGUCGGGCUGCCCGUUUCCCCUCUCAUCUCUGCCUGGCCCCUCUGCACAGUGCACCGACCUCCGCGCGGCCUAGUCCGAAAACCUCUCGGGACCCGAACCGGGCGGUCGUGACCGUUGGAUCCGGAUCAACCCCGUUUUACCGCAAACCGUCAUCGAUUUGUACACUAGACUCCCUAACGUGCCUAUUUUCGACUGUCUAAUUAAAUCGAAGGGUCCUGAGCUAGUUAUAUAUAUAUAUAGAGAGAUCAACCGUGCCAACCCUAAAAUUUAGGGACAAAUUCCCCUGUCCCAUCCGCCGCCGCCGCACACCACUUGGUCUCCUCCUCUCUCAAUUUCCCCACCGAGCCAAUCCCCUCCAUCUCGCAUCAGCGCCACGCCGCCACCUGCUGUCUUCUACCUCGGGAUCCCCAGAUGCAGCCAAGCCAUCCUUCAUGCCGAGCCAUCGGAGCCAUGCCCCGCGCCCGACAGCACCCAUGCGCCCGAGCCUCGCUCGAGCCACGAUGUUGGAGCCCCGCUGUCACGCCCAAGAUGCGACCCUAUCCUCAACUUGGCACGAGGGCCUCGUCAGUGAUAGAAGCGCAUCUCGUCGUGUCGCAAGAAUGGAUAUCGUUACAAGUACAUGUACUGAAAAGAAGAGAUAUAUAAAGAGUUGGCUUACACUCGCCACAAGCUACAUCAGAGUCACAUCAGUACAUUACAUAAUCAUCAAGAGUAAGAGCAGGGUCCGACUACGGACGAAAACAAACGANNNNNNNNNNNNNNNNNNNNNNNNNNNNNNNNNNNNNNNNNNNNNNNNNNNNNNNNNNNNNNNNNNNNNNNNNNNNNNNNNNNNNNNNNNNNNNNNNNNNNNNNNNNNNNNNNNNNNNNNNNNNNNNNNNNNNNNNNNNNNNNNNNNNNNNNNNNNNNNNNNNNNNNNNNNNNNNNNNNNNNNNNNNNNNNNNNNNACGGACGAAAACAAACGAGAAAAUAAGAACGACGUCCAUCCUUGCUAUCCCAGGCUGCCGGCCUGGAACCCAUCCUAGAUCGAUGACGAAGAAGAAGAAGAAGCAACUCCAAAUGAACAAUCAACGCGCUCACGUCAAGUAACCUUUACCUGUACCUGCAACUGGUGUUGUAGUAAUCUGUGAGCCACAGGGGACUCAGCAAUCUCAUUUCCAAAGGUAUCAAGACUAGCAAAGCUUAAAGGGUGAGGCAUGGUUAAGUGGUGAGGUUGCAGCAGCGGCUAAGCAUAUAAUUGGUGGCUAACUUACUAGUACAAGAAAUAAGAGGGGGAAGAUCUACGCAUAACAGAUGUGAACCACUGAUGAUAAAAUGAAUGAUCCUGAACACCUACCUACGUCAGACAUAACCCCACCGUGUCCUCGAUCGGAGAAGGAACUCACGAAAGAGAUAGUCACGGUUACGCACACAACUGACAUAUUUUAAUUAAGUUAAAUUCAAGUUAUCUAGAACCAGUGUUAAACAAAGCUUCCACGUUGCCACAUAACCGCGUGCACGGCUUUCCGAAAAGAUUUAACCCUGCAGGGGUGCUCCAACUAGUCCAUCACAAAUUACCACAAGCCGCAUAGAAAUCCUCAAUCACGAAGCUCGCGAUCUCGCCGGAUUCCCUAGUGGAAAAACCUCAACUCUGAGUUUACCCAAAGCAUCACCGGAAUCCCGAUGCACAAGAUAUCUCGUCAAAGGUAAAACUAAUCCAGCAAGGCCACCCGGUGUGUCGACGAACCCGAUAGGAGCCGCGUAUCUCGUUCUCAGGACACACCAUCUAUGCAAAGUGGACGGGAGCCAAACCUCGAGUUGCCCCAUGGUGGCACCGCCGACUGCUAGGUGGGUGGACCAACACUCAUGCGGAGCACUGGCCCGGGGGUUGAUUAAAUUUCCUCGGGUUAAUUACUCCCUAUGCAGUUCAUUAGUGAUUAGGCAAAUGUAGUACCAAAGUUGGGCCCUGCCAGACCAGCUUUAAUCUAAANUUUAACAUGUGGUAGGCAUCGAGACAUAAACGAUAGAAGCGAUAAAACUAGCAUGGCAAUGAUAGUAAUGGUAUCUGGGGAAAUGAUCAUCUUGCCUGAGAUCCCGCUUGGAAGAAGAACAACUCCGUGAAGUCGGCGAACCAACGUAGUCGAACGGGUCCUCACAUUCCGACACGCUUGCGGAACUCUGUCGAGACGGAGCAAACCGGAAACAUACAUCAACACAACUGUUCACCACAUGAUGCACAACAUGAUGCACAACCUAAUAUGAUGCAUGAUCAGUUCAAUGAUGCAAGGGAUGGCAUGGCAAUUCACCUCACGCAAAUACUACACAUUAAAUGAAGCUCGACAUGCAGCGGGUUGCAUAUCGACGAAACUCCACGUUUAAUUAUUAGUUCACUCCCGAUUAUUCACACGACAAUAUUAAAUGUUGUUAACAUGGCAAGGGGUGAGCGAUGAACCUACAUGACAACCUAGUCGACAACACGUCGGACUUAGAACGGAGCUACGACACAAGAACAUGCAACACAAGAUUAUAUGCCAUGAAUGCGUCAUGCAUGUGAGUUCAUAACACGGGCAAGAAGGGAAAGAAACAGGUAUCGCCACGACGAGCGAAAGGGGGACUAUGGUGGCAAGACGGACACGAUGCCACGACAACGCUCCUAUCCCGAUAACUCGUCGAGAUACCGUGCCAACGAAUAGGGAGCGCGUGCGGGAACGCUAAAUAAAGAUGGGGUGAUCCCGAUUACCGAGUUCCCAUGUGUCGGGGCACAACAUAAGAGGGACAACGUGCAACGGCCAACAUACGGUGCAACAUACAUACUUUCAUCCCAUACAACACAAGCAUUUGUUACACGACACGCCUCAUCGGUAUACCUUCGACGCAUGCGAUUCGAAGCGGAUCGGUUCGUAGCGGACAAUGUGGAAGUAGUCGUACACGGUCUCGUUGACGGUAGUCAUUCUCUUGCGCCGGUAGACGAUCUUCAGCGUCGGUAGUCGAACACGGGUCUUCGGCGACGUCGAGGAAGUCGAACUCGUUUCCAGGGUCGUCGAGGUCAUCGUGGUACUUGCGAUCUUGUCAACGACCCACGGCCGCGGGGAGGGUGCUCGUGGUCUUCGGCGACGGAAACCAGCGACACCACAGCAACACCGGCGACAGCAACUAUCAUCGGCACACUAUGGCAAGCAGGCAAGCUGGCAGCAACAUAUCGGCAGCGGCAUCAGCUACUAGCCUAGCAGCAAACGGCAAGAGCAGCAAAGCAAUACGACAGCUAAGCAACUACAUACAACAGCACAACUAGCUAGCAGGAGCAAAAACUACCUAGCAGCAACUAGCAAGCAAGCAACCUACAACUACUAGCAACCUAACAACAUGGCAAACAACACCUAAGCAACUAACCCUAGCUAAGCAGCAAGCAAGCAGCAAAGCAAGCAACUAUCUUGCAGCUAUAAGCAACAGCUACAGCAACACGCAAGGAGGCUACAGCUAGCAACUAGCAACCUAAUCAGCAACCAGAAAUAGGGAAGCGAAACGGCAGCAGGCAAAUAGAGCAACAACACGCAGCACCAGCAACCGCAACAGCUUCAGCAGCAAUUGCAAGAGCAGCAGGCUUGGCACAGCACAGCAACAGCAAACGGCCAGCAGCUAGCAAGCAGCGGCAUGCACGGCAAGAGCAAACGCAACAUCAGCUACAGCGAACAGCAAGCAACAGCCAGGCGAGCGGGAACAGCUCGGCACCAGCGCAGCAACACAGGGGGCUCGGGAGGCGAGCACGACGACGGGGAGGCGCGGGGCGCGGGGCGGCGCCGGCGGCCUGGAGGGAGCUUGGCGGGCAGGGAGCCACGACGGCUGCUGAGGCCGACCGAUGGUGAGGCUUGCGCGGGAGAGGGGCUCCGGCCGGGGCACAACAGCCUGCAACGGCGUGGCAUGGGGGCUCGCUCAUGUCGAGGGAGGCUGAGAGGCGAGCACGGCGGGGGCGGCGGGAGGACGAGGCCGCCGGCGGCGGAGCGACACGGCGGCGGCGCAACACGCGGAAGGGGCGAGGUCGAGGGCGGCUGGGAUGGGAGGCAGCGCGCGGCUCGGAUGGGAGGCCGACGAGGUGCAUCUCCUGCGACGGGCUGCAGCAGGCCAUGGCGCAUGCGGGGCGGAGCUGCUCGGGCGACGGGGCUGGGGGGAGAGGUGCUGCGAGGCAGGGGCAACCGGCGGCGCGGUGCAGGCAAGGCACGGGAGAACGAACUCGGGGACGAGGGGAUGAGCGCGCUAGGGCUGGGGAGGGAGCCGGCUGGGCCUGGGACGGCUCGGGAGGCUGGCUCUCUCCCCCAUAUGGUGUUUUUUUUACUUUUAAAAACAGAAAACUCAAACAAAAGAAAAGAAAAAAAAGGUUUUAACAAAAUAAAAAAAAUGCCUUUUGACUUCUUGAAAAUAAAAUAUAUACCCCAACUAUAAGGAUAGCUUGGGCAUUUUUAAAAGAAAUAAAAUAAAACCUUUGAAGAAUUAAAAUUAAAACAUUUUACGAAAUAAUAAUAUAAAACCCCUUUUUUUAUUUAAAGAAUAAAAUAAAGGCUCUAUAAAGAAGAAAAGAAAAUGAGACUGUUUUUAAAAUAAAACAAGAGGAGAAAUAAAAGAAAACCCAAGGGGUUACUCCCACAUUUAAUAAAAGGAACUUUUAUUUGAAAAGAAGAAGACGACCCCUUUUGAAAGAAGACAAUUUUUUAAAGGGGUUAAAACGAAACUUUAGCCAAACCACAAAACGAAAUAAGAGGGAAGAGGGGGAGCUACUAUCGCACUACGACUCGGUGAUCGCUCGAAGCACAACACUCAAAGCACCACACGUGACAGACCAUGCAAGAUGUCAUGCAUGAUGCGACGAUGCAAACUAAAUGACGAGGCACAAAUAAAACAAAUCACACGACGGAAGCGGAAAAGAAGGGAGAAUCUUCUGGGCGUCGGUCUCGGGCUGUCACACCCUCCUUCGCCCGCAUCCGGCGUGCUCUGUCGGAGCGCCCCGGCCUCCUUCGUCCUCGCCACGGUCGGUUCCAGAUCGACCCCUACCCCGCGUACGAGGAGCUCCUCCAGCUGCAGCGCCAUCUCAAGCAUGGAGCAGGAGCAGCAGCAUCCGGCACCCAUGGAAGCCGCGCCGCAGGUCCAUGCCAUGCCCGGUCUUCUCCUUCCUCUGUUUAUUUCCUCUCUUCUCUCCCUAAUCGCUCUCUCUCCAGGGAACCAGCUGCGCUAAGAACUCCUCCUUCCCCUACGCGCCUAGUCGCGUCCGCCCGCGCGAGCCCGCUGCUCUGCACCGGUGUAGCUCGCAGGAACGUCUCCUUCUGCAGCAAGCGAGCCCACCCCGAGCUACCUCAUGUGCCUCGUUCUGAGCCAUCCGUGCAUGAGCCCCGCAGCCCCACCGCCUCGUGCCCUCGCCGGAGGUCGGAAUCGGCGACCCCGGGCCGCCAGAAGCCGCUCCAGGCCAUAACCUCUCCCGUUCCCCUUGUUGGGGAACGUCGCAUGGGAAACAAAAAAUUUCCUACGCGCACGAAGACCUAUCAUGGUGAUGUCCAUCUACGAGAGGGGAUGAGUGAUCUACGUACCCUUGUAGAUCGUACAGCAGAAGCGUUAGUGAACGCGGUUGAUGUAGUGGAACGUCCUCACGUCCCUCGAUCCGCCCCGCGAACAAUCCCGCGAUCAGUCCCACGAUCUAGUACCGAACGGACGACACCUCCGCGUUCAGCACACGUACAGCUCGACGAUGAUCUCGGCCUUCUUGAUCCAGCAAGAGAGACGGAGAGGUAGAAGAGUUCUCCGGCAGCGUGACGGCGCUCCGGAGGUUGGUGAUGACCUUGUCUCAGCAGGGCUCCGCCCGAGCUCCGCAGAAACGCGAUCUAGAGGAAAAACCGUGGAGGUAUGUGGUCGGGCUCCCGUGGGAAAGUCGUCUCAAAUCAGCCCCAAUACCUCCGUAUAUAUAGGUGGGAGGGAGGGGACCUUGCCUUGGGGCUCAAGGAGCCCCAAGGGGGUCGGCCGAGUCCAAGGGGGGAAGGCUCCCCCCCAAACCGAGUUGGACUUGGUUUGGUGGGUGGGAGUCCUUCCCUUCCUUCCCACCUCCCUUUUUUUUCCUUUCUCUUUGAUUUUCCUUUGUAUGGCGCAUAGGGCCCUUUUGGGCUGUCCCACCAGCCCACUAAGGGCUGGUGCGCCACCCUUAUGGCCUAUGGGCUUCCCCGGGGUGGGUUGCCCCCCCCGGUGAACUCCCGGAACCCAUUCGUCAUUCCCGGUACAUUCCCGGUAACUCCGAAAACCUUCCGGUAAUCAAAUGAGGUCAUCCUAUAUAUCAAUCUUCGUUUCCGGACCAUUCCGGAAACCCUCGUGACGUCCGUGAUCUCAUCCGGGACUCCGAACAACAUUCGGUAACCAACCAUAUAACUCAAAUACGCAUAAAACAACGUCGAACCUUAAGUGUGCAGACCCUGCGGGUUCGAGAACUAUGUAGACAUGACCCGAGAGACUCCUCGGUCAAUAUCCAAUAGCGGGACCUGGAUGCCCAUAUUGGAUCCUACAUAUUCUACGAAGAUCUUAUCGUUUGAACCUCAGUGCCAAGGAUUCAUAUAAUCCCGUAUGUCAUUCCCUUUGUCCUUCGGUAUGUUACUUGCCCGAGAUUCGAUCGUCAGUAUCCGUAUACCUAUUUCAAUCUCGUUUACCGGCAAGUCUCUUUACUCAUUCCGUAAUACAAUAUCCCGCAACUUACACUAAGUCACAUUGCUUGCAAGCCUUGUGUGUGAUGUUGUAUUACCGAGUGGGCCCCGAGAUACCUCUCCGUCACACGGAGUGACAAAUCCCAGUCUUGAUCCAUACUAACUCAACUAACACCUUCGGAGAUACCUGUAGAGCAUCUUUAUAGUCACCCAGUUACAUUGCGACGUUUGAUACACACAAAGUAUUCCUCCGGUGUCAGUGAAUUAUAUGAUCUCAUGGUCAUAGGAACAAAUACUUGACACGCAGAAAACAGUAGCAAUAAAAUGACACGAUCAACAUGCUACGUCUAUUAGUUUGGGUCUAGUCCAUCACGUGAUUCUCCUAAUGACGUGAUCCAGUUAUCAAGCAACAACACUUUGUUCAUAAUCAGAAGACACUGACUAUCUUUGAUCAACUGGCUAGCCAACUAGAGGCUUGCUAGGGACGGUGUUUUGUCUAUGUAUCCACACAUGUAAAUGAGUCUUCAUUCAAUACAAUUAUAGCAUGGAUAAUAAACGAUUAUCUUGAUACAGGAAUUACAAUAAUAACAAUAUUUAUUAUUGCCUCUAGGGCAUAAUUCCAACACCCCUCUCCUUCCUGCUCUCCUUCCUCCUCUUGUUGAUCCCCUCUCUCUCUCUAAUCUUUUUCUUUGAACUUGUCUGAACCAGGAGCAACAGCCCUAGGGACGCCAUGGAUGGCCAUCACCAAUGGAUCUUGAGCCGCCGGAAGCUUCUCCAGGCCUAGAAACGGGACCCCCUCUACCGGAUCCGCCCAUCCCGCUGACGCCCCGCCGAAGCCAGCGGCCAACCCGCAACCGCCCCGACCUGCAUCCCCGUUCUGGCAGACAGAACAUAUCUGUCUUUGUUUUCAGUUUCGUCAGUUAGCGCCUGGUAUGAUUUAAGAAGAGCAAGGAUCCUUUUCUUAUCAUAGUGCUAGCGUAGCCCAGCUGGUUAGCUCCUUGGUCUGCAGCAAGGAGGUCUUUGGUUCGAAACCCCACGGCUGCACAUUCUUUUUAUGCAUUUUCUCCUUCGAGGAUGAGCUGAUGCGCAGUUUCAUUUAGGUAGAAGCCCAGUUAUGUCGCGUGUAAGUAGCCAGCUGAGCUGGUUAGCGGCACGCCUUAUAUCCAUGAGGUCAUGGAUCAAAUCCCAUCUGCCCAUAUUAUUUUCAUUUUUUUUAGUUGUACUAUGUUUUAGAACGUCCGUACCUGUUAAACCGUGCCUCGGAUUAAAAUGAUUUCAAGAUGUAAGUUGCUUAGAAUUUUCUGUAGUUUCACAAAAACCAACUCUCAUGCAUAAUUAGAUCUGUUUAGUGUGCUGCUUACCCCAUUUUGCGUGUCGACGUGUUAAACGGUUUAGCCCAUAGUUUUUAAACCGUAGCUCCGUUGGAGAUGUGCCACAGAUGUAAAUGGGCUAGAACGACGUGUAGAAUCACAUGCACCACUUUGUUUUGCCAUUUAACAAACCUAAAAUAUGAUUAGGACAAAUCUGGACAGAAUUAAGAUUUAACACGUGGGGUCAUUUCGGAGAUGCUAUAUGUCGUUUCUGGUCUCAUUUAAAAUGCCUAGCUAGGUAGAUUAAUUUGUGAUUCACCCCUUGCCAUGUUAACAACCUUUUAAUAUAGCCGUGUACCUGAACGGGAGUGAACUAAAUAAUUAGACGUGGAGUUUCGUCGAUAUGCAACUCGUUGCAUAUCGAGCUUCACUUAAUGUGUAGUGUUUGAUUGUUGUGAUUGGCAUGCCUUGCAUUAGACCGUUCAUGCAUCAUUUAUGUUGUGCAUCGUGUGGUGUAUAUCAUGUGUUGAUGCUUGUUCCGGUUUUCCCCGUCUCGAUAGAGUUCCGCAAGCGUGUCGGAAGUGAGGACCGUUCGACUACAUCGGUUCGUCUGCUUCACGGAGUCAUUCUUCUUCCAAGCGGGAUCUCAGGCAAGAUGACCAUUUCCCCAGAUACCAUUACUAUCAUUGCCACGCUAGUUUUACCGUUUCUAACGUUUAUGUCUCGUUACCUACCACUUGUUAAAUAUCAGCCUCUCAACAAUGCCACUUCAAUCUGUUCGACCUAGCAAACCACUGAUUGGCUAUGUUACCGCUUGCUUAACCCUGUGUUAGCGUUGCUAGUUGCAGGUGCAGAUGCUUCCAUGUGAAAACAUGGGUUCUUUGUUAUAUCACCAUAUUAAAUGCUAUUAAAUUUAAUGCAUCUAUAUACUUGGUAAAAGGUGGAAGGCUCGGCCUUUCUAGCCUAGUGUUUUGUUCCACCUUUGCCUCCUUAGUUUCCGGCUACCGGUGUUAUGUUCCAUAAUUGAGCGCUCCUAACAAAAUCGGGGUUGUUAUGGGGACCCCCUUGAUAAUUCGUUUUAGAUUAAAGCUGGUCUGGCAAGGCCCAACUUUGGUACUACAUUUGCCUAAUCACCUAAUAAAUUGCAUAGGGACUUUCCGGACCCCGAGGAUAAUUUAAUCAACCCCCGGGCCAGUGCUCCGCAUGAGAGUUGGUCCACCCACCCAGCAGUCGGCGGUGCCACCUCGGGGCAACUCGAGGUUUGGCUACCGUCCACUAUGCAUAGACGGUGUGUCCUAAGAACGAGAUACGCGGCUCCUAUCGCGUUCGUCGACACACCGGGUGGCCUUGCUGGAUUAGUUUUACCUUUGACGAGAUAUCUUGUGCAUCGGGAUUCCGGUGAUGCUUUGGGUAAUCUCAGAGUGGAGGUUUUCCACUAGGGAAUCCGACGAGAUCGCGAGCUUCGUGAUUGAGGGUUUCUAUGCGGCUUGUGGUAAUUUGUGAUGGACUAGUUGGAGCACCCCUGCAGGGUUAAAUCUUUUCGGAAAGCCGUGCCCGCGGUUAUGUGGCAACGUGGAAACUUUGUUUAACACUGGUUCUAGAUAACUUGAAGUUAAUUAAUUAAAAACAUGCCUACUGUGUGCGUAACCGUGACUGUCUCUUUCGUGAGUUCCUUCUCCGAUCGAGGACAUGGUGAGGUUAUGUCUGACGUAGGUAGGUGUUCAGGAUCAUUCAUUUGAUCAACAGUAGUCCACGUCCGCUAUGCGUAGAUCUUCCCCCUCUUAUUUCUGGUACUCGUAAGUUUAGCCACCAAAUAUAUGCUUAGCCGCUGCUGCAACCUCACCACUUAACCAUGCCUCGCCCAUUAAGCUUUGCUAGUCUUGAUACCUUUGGAAAUGAGAUUGCCGAGUCCUCUCUGGCUCAUAGAUUACUAAAACACCAGUUGCAGGUACAGGUAAAGGUUACUUGACGCGAGCGCAUUGAUUGUACAUUUGGAGUUGCUUCUUCUUAUUCUUCUUCAUCGAUCAAGGAUGGGUUCCAGGCCGGCAGCCUGGGAUAACAAGGAUGGACGUCGUUCUUCUUUUGUCGUUUGUUUUCAUCCGUAGUCGGACCCUGCUCUUACUCUUGAUGAUUAUGUAAUGUACUGAUGUGACUCUGAUGUAGCUUGUGGCGAGUGUAAGCCAACUCUUUAUAUAUCUCUUCUUUUCAGUACAUGUACUUGUAACGAUAUCCAUUCUUGCGACACGACGAGAUGCGCUUCUAUCCCUGACGAGGCCCUCGUGCCAAAUUGAGGAUAGGGUUGCAUCUUGGGCGUGACAUGGCGGGAGCGAACCGAACGUCCCUCCACUUCUUGCACGACUUGAUCCUAGAGAACACAUGAAGAAACUUGAACUCUUGGUCCUCGUUGUAUUGACGGUACAUGAUAAACAUCCGAACCAUCUGCACAACCACGGACAAAACGUGUCGGCAAAGUACACGGUGACGUGACGAACUGGGGACGGCGAACUAUGUCCAUACCCGACCCUCGAUGUUGGCACCGCUUUCCGGGCAAGCAGCGACCUCCCCAUGCCACUUGUGGCAGGCCGGCUAGAUUGUCGCCACGGUCCAUCUGGAUAUUGCCGAAGUCAAGGUCGAUCAGCUUGCGUUCGUCGAACGCCGUCUUGUGUUGGAAAUAUGCCCUAGAGGCAAUGACAAAAUAGUUAUUAUUAUAUUUCCUGUUACAAGAUAAUCAUUUAUUAUUCAUGCUAUAAUUGUAUUGAAUGAAAACAUAGAUACAUGUAUGGAUACAUAGACAAAACAAUGUCCCUAGCAAGCCUCUAAUUGGCUAGCCAGUUGAUCAAUGAUAGUCAAGGUUUUCUCACUAUAUGCAAGUGUUGUCACUUGAUAUCUGGAUCACAUCAUUAGGAGAAUCAUGUGAUGGACUAGACCCAAACUAUGAACGUAGCAUAUUGAUCGUGUCAUUUUAUUGCUAUUGUUUUCUGCGUGUCAAAUAUUUAUUCCUAUGACCAUGAGAUCAUAUAACUCAGUGGCACCGGAGGAAUACCUUGUGUGUAUCAAACGUCGCAAAGUAACUGAGUGACUAUAAAGGUGCUCUACAGGUAUCUCCGAAGGUGUCCGUUGAGUUAGUAUGGAUCAAGACUGGGAUUUGUCACUCCGUGUGACGGAGAGGUAUCUCGGGGCCCACUUGGUAAUACAACAUCACACACAAGCCUUGCAAGCAAAGUGACUAAGUGUAAGUCACGGGAUCUUAUAUUACAGAACGAGUAAAGAGACUUGCCGGUAACGAGAUUGAAAUAGGUAUGCGGAUACCGACGAUCGAAUCUCGGGCAAGUAACAUACCGAAGGACAAAGGAAAUGACAUACGAGAUUAUAUGAAUCCUUGACACUGAUGUUCAACCGAUAAGAUAUUCGGAGAAUAUGUAGGAUCCAAUAUGGGCAUCCAGGUCCCGCUAUUGGAUGUUGACCGAGGAGUAUCUCCGGUCAUGUCUACAUAGUUCUCGAUGUUGGAAUUAUGCCCUAGAGGCAAUAAUAAAUGUAUAGUUAUUAUUAUAAUUCCUGUAUCAAGAUAAUAGUUUAUUAUCCAUGCUAUAAUUGUAUUGAAUGAAGACUCAUUUACAUGUGUGGAUACAUAGACAAAACACCGUCCCUAGCAUGCCUCUAGUUGGCUAGCCAGUUGAUCGAUGAUAGUCAGUGUCUUCUGAUUAUGAACAAGGUGUUGUUGCUUGAUAACUGGAUCACGUCAUUGGGAGAAUCACGUGAUGGACUAGACCCAAACUAAUAGACGUAGCAUGUUGAUCGUGUCAUUUUGUUGCUACUGUUUUCUGCGUGUCAAGUAUUUAUUCCUAUGACCAUGAGAUCAUAUAGCUCACUGACACCGGAGGAAUGCUUUGUGUGUAUCAAACGUCGCAACGUAACUGGGUGACUAUAAAGAUGCUCUACAGGUAUCUCCGAAGGUGUUAGUUGAGUUAGUAUGGAUCGAGACUGGGAUUUGUCACUCCGUGUGACGGAGAGGUAUCUCGGGGCCCACUCGGUAAUACAACAUCACACACAAGCCUUGCAAGCAAUGUAACUUAGUGUAAGUUGCGGGAUCUUGUAUUACGGAACGAGUAAAGAGACUUGCCGGUAAACGAGAUUGAAAUAGGUAUGCGGAUACUGACGAUCGAAUCUCGGGCAAGUAACAUACCGAAGGACAAAGGGAAUGACAUACGGGAUUAUACGAAUCCUUGGCACUGAGGUUCAAACGAUAAGAUCUUCGUAGAAUAUGUAGGAUCCAAUAUGGGCAUCCAGGUCCCGCUGUUGGAUAUUGACCGAGGAGUCUCUCGGGUCAUGUCUACAUAGUUCUCGAACCCGCAGGGUCUGCACACUUAAGGUUCGACGUUGUUUUAUGCGUAUUUGAGUUAUAUGGUUGGUUACCGAAUGUUGUUCGGAGUCCCGGAUGAGAUCACGGACGUCACGAGGGUUUCCGGAAUGGUCCGGAAACGAAGAUUGAUAUAUAGGAUGACUUCAUUUGAUUACCGGAAGGUUUUCGGAGUUACCGGGAAUGUACCGGGAAUGACGAAUGGGUUCCGGGGGUUCACCGGAGGGGGGCAACCCACUCCGGGGAAGCCCAUAGGUAUUUGGGGGGGUCACACCAGCCCUUAGUGGGCUGGUGGGACAGCCCACCAAAUCCUAUGCGCCAAGGAAGAGAAAAUAUCAAAGGAAAGAAAAAAAAGGGGAGAAGUGGGGAGGGGGAAGGACUCCCUCCCACCAAACCAAGUAGGACUCGGUUUGGGGGGGGAGAGUCCUCCCCCCUGGCUCGGCCGACCCCUUGGGGAUCCCUUGGACCCCAAGGCAAGGUCCCCCUCCCUCCUCCUAUAUAUAUGGGGCUUUUAGGGCAGAUUUGGGACGACUUUCUCACGGCUGCCCGACCACAUACCUCCAUAGUUUUUCCUCUAGAUCGUGUUUCUGCGGAGCUCGGGCGGAGCCCUGCUGAGACAAGAUCAUCACCAACCUCCGGAGCGCCGUCACGCUGCCGGAGAACUCUUCUACCUCUCCGUCUCUCUUGCUGGAUCAAGAAGGCUGAGAUCAUCGUCGAGCUGUACGUGUGCUGAACGUGGAGGUGCCGUCCGUUCGGUACUAGAUCGUGGGACUGAUCGCGGGAUUGUUCGCGGGGCGGAUCGAGGGACGUGAGGACGUUCCACUACAUCAACCGCGAUCUCUAAUCGCUUCUGCUGUACGAUCUACAAGGGUACAUAGAUCACUCAUCCCCUCUCGUAGAUGGACAUCACCAUGAUAGGUCUUCGUGCGCGUAGGAAAAUUUUUGUUUCCCAUGCGACGUUCCCCAACACUCGAACCCGCAGGGUCUUCACACUUAAGGUUCGAUGAUGUUUUAGUAUAGUUGAGUUAAAUGUGUGGUUACCGAAUGUUGUUCGGAGUCCCGGAUCAGAUCACGGACGUCACGAGGGUUUUCAGAAUGGUCCAAAAACGAAGAUUGAUAUAUAGGAUGGUUUCAUUUGGUCACCGAAAAGUUUCGGGCAUUACCGGCAGUGUACCGGGAGUGACGAAUGGGUUCCGGGUGUUUACCGGGAGGGGCCCACCCACUCGGGAGUGAGCCCAUGGCCUUAGGGUGGCACACCAAGUCCUUAGUGGGCUGGUGGAGUCAUCCCAAGAGGGCUAUGGCGCCACAAGAAAAAAACACCAAAGGAAAUGAAAAAAAAGGAAAGAGGGAGGUGGGAAGGAAGAGGAGGACUCCUUCCCAAACCGAAUUGGAGGAGGAGUCCUCCUCCACCCCUUCGGCCGGCGCACCCUUGGGGCUCUUGUGCCCCAAGGCUAGCCCCUCCCCUUUUUCUAUAUAUAUUGGUGGUUUAGGGGUUUUUGAGACACAACUUUGCCACGUGCAAUUCUAGCCUAUUCCACAUAGUUUUACCUCUAGAUCGGAUUUCUACGGAGCUCGUGGCAGGAGUAGAUCAUCACCACCACCGGAGCGCCGUCACGCUACCGGAGAACUCAUCUACUUCUCCGUCUUUCUUGCUGGAUCAAGAAGGCCGAGAUCGUCAUCGAGCUGUACAUGUGCUGAACGUGGAUGUGUCGUCCGUUCGGCGCUAGAUGGGAACCGUUCGUGGGAGAGAUCGUGCGACGACGGUGAUUUGAAUCACGAAGCUGUACCACUAUAUCAACCGCGUUUCUUAACGCUUCUCGCUUAGCGAUCUACAAGGGUACAUAGAUCUAAUCUCCUCUCGUAGAUGGACAUCACCAUGAUAGGUCUUCGUGUGCGUAGGAUUUUUUUUUGUUUCCCAUGCAACGUUCCCCAACAUCUUGAUUACCCUCCACUAUGUGUCGGUGUUCUGAUUCACGCCGAUAAUCGGGUCGAUGCUGACGGUCUUCCAGGUUUCGGCAAGGCACUCGACUUCCUUGGACGUCUACUUGACGCGGGGUUCACCCGUCCUAGCGUUCGACGCCCGCUUAUUUUUUCUCGUUUUCGGCGUUGGUUCCGGUUCCGCUUCCACCUACUCUUCCCCCUCCUCCUCCUCGGCGUUGCCGAGCUCGUCGUCCAUGUCAACGGCGGUGUCCGUCGCUUCAUCUUGCACGCCGAACCCUGGGAAGGACGUGGCGGCGACGAAGCCGCUCGUGAUGAUCUCGUCCAUGUCGGCGUCGAUGUGGCUAAACUAUGGCGCCGAGCCACGUACAAAGGGUAGGGCACCCCAACACAGAGGCGGCGCAGACGAGGCUCAUGAGUACGCCAGCGGCAAGUAGUUGUACCGGGUGUUGAGACCGGCGUUGAACACGGGGGAGGGAGUGCGCGGGCCGGGGUUGAAGCCGGAGGGGGAGGAACGCUGCGGCGCGCCAUGUGGGAAGGUGAUGUUGGGGUUGAAACAGUCAUGCACGUCGCCGUCGGAGUAGCCAGGCGCGGGUGCGUACCCCGAGGAUGGCGGCAACGGCGGUGAGAAGUUGGCCGGCGACGCGACGCUCUGCUGACUCCCCCAUGCAGCCCGCUCGUAGUGGCCGGGCGGAUUCAUCAUCCCCGCGCAAGGCGCCUCUCCCUGCUUGGCCACCGCUGUCGCCGUUGCCGCCGCGUCCCUGGCCUUCUUGGCGAUGAGCCUGCUCCGCUUGUUGGUUGUGACCGCCUCCCAGCGCUGGACAUCUGCAUUCCACAUGGCGUUCGAAACGGCCGACGGUGUUCCAACGGCUUCCUCGACUUCAACUGGGUGGAAUCGGCAACAGGGCGAGGGGCGGAAUACCUCUUCGGUGGCAUGGCGACCGGAUGGCGGGAGCGAAAGCGGAGAAGGAGAAGCAAUGAGGAAAAUUGAGGGAAAGGGGGAGAAAACGUCGGAAUUAUGCUUGUGUGUUGCCGACAACGCUGGCCCGCGUGCCUUUUCGCUUCGACCGGCACCCCCGACGACCCUCGGGGGGCUUGGUUUGGCUCGGGUUCGUCGGUUGUUAUUUCGAUCCAAACCAACGAUAAACGAGGCGUUGAAGACACGACUGGUUUGAUUUUUCACUAUCAAUAUUAAAAAAUACGUCCUAGGAAUCUGUUGGAGGACGAACGGAGAUGCUCUAAAGCAAAAAUGCUAGACGUACGAGGUUUUAGAUUCUUCUACAUGCUACUUCCUAACCAACUAAUCAUGCACCCCCUGAUUUUUAGGUGGGUGGGGCCCCUUACUUCCUUAGUCCAAUCGUAAUUUGCUAGCUUUAACUCAUCUCGUAAAAAGCAUGUAACAACAUCUCUAACAGACCUCGUAUAAGUGAUCAAAUCCGUAAAAAAAAUUACGUUUUACACUUCUGGUCGCAAAAAGCGUGCAUAACAGAAACAGUAAAAGUGGUCCAACCCAUAAAUUUUUUAAGGGGCACACUAAAGCCACACUUGAAACCCUUAUUUUUGAAGGUUGGAAGGCCGAUUCUAAGCGCCCCGUAUACCGGUCAAACCUCGCCCGAGCAAACACGUCGCCGCGGAGUUUGCCGGAAUUUGCCCUAAACUUGUCGGAAUUCAUCAGCGCACGCCGGAAAAGGUCGCUGGACACCGCAAUCGAUCGUCGCCGGUUUGAAUUGGACGAGCUCGACCUCUUCAUGAACUCCCGUGACCUCAGCCUAACCACCAGAAUCCUCUCAACACGGCAGGCAAAGGAACACGGCUCGACCGGGGGACGGGCCGCGGCCGACGGGCAAAGGGGCGAGUUCGACGUGGUUGGAUUUCGGCCGCCCACCCGUCCCCGCAAAGCGUAGUUAUGCCUUGCCUAACCCGCGUCCAUGCCAGCGCGGCGAAAGCGCUCGGGAAAGCCGCGUCCGGUAAGGAACCGGUUGGCGCCAGGCCGGCUCCGCCUCCCCCUCCCCCACCGCCUCCGCGCCGGCUACAAAAGGCGCCGAGGUGCGCCCCCUCCACCCCGCGCUCCGGCCUCCCNCCCCCCCCCCUCUCUCUCUCUCUCUGUGGAGCCUUUGUUCCGGCCGCGCCUCCGCCCUCGAUCGAUCGUCUCCUCGCGUCUCCGCCACCGUUUCCUCCCCCUCGUCCAUCAAACCUCGAUUCGUUUUCGAAUCGCGCUUGAUUUUGCCAUCGCUUCUGCCUCCGGUGCCCGCGGUCGCAGGGGAUUCGGCCCGUCUCGUCCGCCUCCGUGCGACUCCGGGGAGCGAUCGGUGGUGGGUUCCAUCGAGCCGUUUGGUUUUGCUUCUGCGUCUGGUUCCGGGUGAUCCGAGGGUGGGCCGAAGCAAGGUCAGUUUCUCGCGUUCGAUCAGAUCGGUCGUCAUCUACCAGCGUUCGUCGGUGAUUUCAAGAUUUGAUGAAUUGAUUGAAUUGAGCGUCCGUCGCCCGUGCGGCCUUCCGGUUCCUUGUUCCCGAUACCGAGCGCUCUCGUCACGAGUUCCGCCGUCGUCAUCGGUUAAUACGAGGUGGAUUCGUGGCCCUCGUGGAUUCUUGCAGUACCGGCUGAUCUAGUUUGCUUUUGGCCUUCUGGAGGUUUGAUUUAUGUUCAUGGUUGUUUUGAUUGAUUGGUUAUUACAGUCCAGCGGUUAUUCUGAUAUGGUCAGGUCUUCUCGGAUGAGCAAGCUUUUCAAUCUCUUAUUAGUUAUUAUACCAACCUACCUAGGCUGGAACGCCCGAUCUGCGUUUGGAUAAUAAUAUCAAGGAAUCCCUCCUAAUUUAGUUUCUUGGUUUGCACCGUACAGUUUAUUAGUCUACUGCAGUACAAUUCUGAUUUGUAUAUUUUGCUGGUUGUCCAGAAAUUGGGAUUACAGGGCCUAAUGGGAGCCAUUCAUCCUAUUGCUGACCUCGAUGAUUACUCUCUGUUUAAUUUGUUCUCCACAAUUCAAUUAGUCUCCCAACAACUCUGAUUUUCAUUCGUUGCUGGCUCUCCGGGAACUGGAAUUAAGUAGGCUAGCAGGUGGCUCGGCAUGGCGUUUCUUCUUAUGGGGUUCAACUUUCUGGAUCUUUCUUAUGGAAAUAAUUAUAACUCAGAAGACAGUAGUUUCCCCUGCCUUAGUCAUGCUCAGCUCUUGCAGAUAGUAUCUUGCAAGGGAUAUAAUUGGAACUUGUGUUGCCUACCUGACCUUCCUAGUCGAGACAGGGUUACUUUAUUUUAUCUUCAACUCAUUGUUUAAUCAAGUUUUCUCCCUAACCGAAACAUUUAUUUGUAGAAAGGUAUCUUGCUCGCUGCAGGUCGUAGUUCACGGACUCAAGGCCACCAUCCUGAUGCUGAGUUUGCAGUUCUUCUAAAUCUAUCUUCUCAAUUCCUUAACUUUAGAUAAUAAUACGAAGAGUUCUUACUAGGCAAUAUUACAAAUUCAUAUUUAGCUGCAAAGGUGCAAGAAUGAAGCUUCAAACUAGUGGCACAUCCUACAACCGGAAAAAAAACUUAAUCAUUAUCCCUCUUAUUUUUAUUUAAUUCAGCUACAUGUUCAUGUCUUUGAUUUUGUUUUUUGCUUGUGCCCUCCAUGUCGUUGCAGAUUUGUUUUGGCCUAGGACAAUGCUGGAAGUGAGUCUGAAUCUGUUAAAAUCGUCUAGUUUGCCAUCUAUUUCUUUGUGGUUUGAUUAGUUAUCUGUACUGCGUUGGUCUUCCUGCGCAUUGCUAUCUGAUAUAUUUAGGAAAUUUGUGCCCACAGGCAAACCUGUACCUAAAACGUGUCACAGUGUCAGGUCAGUGUCUUGGCUGUUGGUUCAUUUCUGAUGGCUUCCAUGGGUUGGUUGCAAGACUGGGCCAGGUAUGAGGAUAUCCUUGUAUGUCUAAGGGAAUUUGAGGCAGGUCAGAUUUGAAUGGCUAUCGCUCAUGUGGUCUUCUGGUUCUCAUCACGAGUUCCAUCAUCAUCAGCUAAUAAGAGGUGGAUUCAAGGUCCUGGUGGAUUCUUAUUGUGUAGCAGCUGAUCUCGCUUUUGGUGUGUGUUUGUGCUCCUUUAGAUGCAGCAGAAGCAAGAGGGUAGUGGUUCCACAGUGAUGAGUCAAAGGGUGGAGGUUUGGUUUCUGAUAUAUAAAUGGUCAGGUCUUUCAGGAGGACAAUGUUUUGGUGUUCAACUGAAGUUUUGGAUCGCUCAUCUACCUGGAACUUGUGAUCCGUGUUUGGAUGAUCUCAAAUUCUUGAUCCCUCUGACUUAACUUUUUCAUUUGCAAAAUUCAAUAAUUUACUCUCCAGAGGUUCUGAUUUGGAUUAUCAUUGGUGGAUCUCCAGAAAUUUGGAUUUGGCUUAGCGGCGGGGGUGACUUGUCUUCUUCUUCCUGAUCUGCUUUGGAUGAAUCAUUACUUCCUCCAUUUCAUUUAUUUCUCUCCACAGCUCACCUUAUGUCUACGACAAUUCUGAUUUACAUUUGUUGGUGGUUCUUCAGAAAUUGGGGUUAUACGGCUUAGCGGGGAGCACCUAUCGUCUUGGUGAUCUGCGUUGGAUGAUCAUUACCUUUCUCAGUUUAGUUUCUUCUUCUCCAGAGUUCAGUUAGUCUCCCAACAAUUCUGAUUGUGAUCUGUUGAUGGUUGUUCAGAAAUUGGAAUUACACGGCCUAGAUGGUGGUCCUAUUUUGCCUCGGCAUGAUGGUUCUUUUUCUGUUCCUUGACUUUCCUGACCUUUCUUAUUCAAUAUAAUUGAACUCUCCAGAUGUAUUGUCUCUGCCCUUAGUCAGUAAUUCUCAGCUCUUGCAGAUACUGGCUUCGAUAAUUGCAGUUUGGAACCGGUGUGCUAACCCGUCAUCCCUACCCCCAACUGAGACAUGCUUACUUAAUCUUUACAUCCUCAUCGUUUGAUGCAUGCUUUGGCUGAGCCUAGUUUUUCCUAACUUAUACUCCCCCCGUUCCUAAAUAUCCUUUUAGAUGUUUCACUAGAAGACUACAUACGGAUGUAUUUAGACAUACUUUAGAGUGUAGAUUCACUCAUUUUGCUCCGUAUGUGGUCUCCUAGUGAAAUCUCUAAAAAGACUUAUAUUUAGGAACGGAGGGAGUAGAAAGGUAUCUUCCUGGUGCAGGUUGUAGUUGACGAAUUCAAGUCCAACCUGGUGCUGAGAUGCAGUAUUUCUAAAUCUACCAUUUUGUCAACUCAUCAUAACUUAGACAACCUUUAAAGUUAUCUCCCUUUGUUUUAGUUUCUCCGCUGUUUUGUUUUGGUUCCCCAAAAUUCUGAUUUAAACUACUUCUUGGUGGCUUCCAGAAAUUGACUUGGAAAGGAUAUACCUGCAGUUUGGAACUGGUGUUGUUGUCAUUCGUCAACCAUAGCUGAACUUGCUAUCCAAAACAGGCUUACUUGUUCCCGUCCAUCAUUUGAUCCAUACAUUAGCUAUUUAUAAGUAACAUUUUCCCCUAUCUGAAAAUUUAUAGGAAGCUCCCUUGCUUGUUGCAGGUUGUAGUUGCCAAACUCAAGCUUUCAAAUGAAAAUUUCCCCUUAACUGAAAAUUUUCCUCUGAUGAAUCUGUUUGCAGAUCUUCUAAAUCUACUUUCAAUUCAUUCAGAUUAUCUUACUAGGCAAUAUAUUCUAAAUACAGAUUCAUAUACAGAGGUUCAUGAAUCCAAGGAUAAUCCGAAGCUUUCAACUAAUGGCACAUCCUACAACCAAAAAAAACUCUUGCCAUCCCUUUUUUAAUUUCAUUUAGCUACUCAGCCAUGUCUUUGAUAUAGGUUUUUGCUCCUGCUCUUCCUGUGGUUGCAGAUUUUUCUUUAGCCCAGGCCAUGUGGGUAAUGAUGCGGAAUCUGUUAAAUAUUUUGGUUUGCAAUCUAGCUCUCCGUUGUUCGAUUUGUUGUCUGUUAACUCUUGAUCCCUGUAUUCUAUUGGUCUUCUACAAGUGUGGGUUGCAGGAUAUAAUUGUUAGGAGUUUGUACCAAAUCUGUACUCUGUACAUGGAGUCAGGUCAGUGUCUUGUAGAUGGUCUGUUUGUUUCAUUUGCUAUUGCCGCCUCCAUGAGUUGCCUUGCAGGACUGGAUGUGGAUCUGAAUCUGGUUUGGACAUGAAGCUCCCUAUGGUCAGUUUCCCAUGUUUGGUCACAUUGGUUUACUGGAUCCCUCAUCUGUGCUCGGUGACAAAAGAUUUGAGUGGCUAUACCUUAAAUUCUUCGAUAUGUCUUAUACUAUAAUGGUUCGUCAGUAUUAGUGUCCCUUGAUAUGAGGUGGAUUCUCGUUUGUUCUCGUUGUAAAAGCUGAUCUCGCUUAUGGUAUGUGUUUGUGCUCCUUGAGAUGCAGGAUGUUGUGGAGUGAUGAAUGAAAGGAUCGAGGUUUGCUUUGCUGUUCGUGGUUAUUUUGAUUAGUUAUGGCUCAAUGGAUGGUUAUAAGCUAGGAUCUUGUGCGCUGAAGUAUUCGUUCUGGAUUGAGGCUGUGGAUUGGAUAGUUAACCAUGGGAUGGGGAUCAGAGAAUUUCUGAACAGUGUUUAUAAUCGAUCCUCCUCGAUUUAGUUUCUUUGCUUGCACAGUCAAAUUUAGCUUACAACAUCUCUGAUAUGGAUUGUUCUCCAGCUAUUGGACUUAUGGGGGCUUUCCGGAAGGUGCCCUGCAUGUUACAGACGGUUUCUUCUGUUGACUUCAAUCUUUCCAGAUUUGCUUUGAACAUUGUCCUUCCUAUAGUUUUCUCUGCCCUUGGUAACUAUGUGACCUUGCAGAUAUUGACAUGGAUGAGAGAAUUUAGUUUGCUAUUUGGUACUGGGGUUGUUGCCUAACUGAUCUCUCCCAGACAAGCAGGCUUAUCCUAUCACCUCAAUGUUUUGAUGCAUUAUAUAGCUGUUUUAAGUAGUUUCGUCUCCCCAAAGCAAAAAAUCAUGGGAAGGUCUCUUGGUCGUUGCAGGUCCUAAUUGACUAUUUAGGUCCAACCUGGUGCGGAGUUAUCUGUUUGAAGAUCUUCUAAACCCUACACCUUUCCAAUUCAUUGCGAUUUGUUCAACAUAUAAAUUAUCUUAUGGAGACAAUUUGAACAUUCAGACUGAUUUGGUGGAUGUGUAAGAUUAAGGUUUCUCUAGGGCUUUAGUCUAGAUGGGACCUACACCGGCAAAAUUCAGUGCUCUCUACAACCGAAAAGUUAUCUUAAGAUGGUUAUCUCCUGAAGAAACUUCUGUUCUCUUGGUUGCCUUUUGCUUGUAGGCUGUAGCAUUGAUUGUAUUUUUUCCUCCUGCCUUCCUGUGAUUGCAGCCAUGAUGGUAGCCAUUCAAAAUAUGUUACCUUUUUGGUUUAUGAUCCUCUCUAUGGUUUACUUUGUUAUAUCUGUACUCCACAUCCAUGUGCUUCUGUUGGUCUGUUGGCCUGGUGGGCUUGUUCUUUGCAGUAUAUGAUGGAAUUAGUGGGUGUGCCCUGUAGAGUCAUCUCAGUGUCUGCUCUGCUCUGAAUGCAAAAGUUAGCUUUGUUCCUCUUUUCUCCAAUCUCCAAUGGCUAAUCAACGAUCCUGUCUGUCACGUAAUACAAGGUGAAUUUUAUCUCGUUUAUGUAUGCGCCUUUGUUCCUUUAGAUUCAAGACAGUGGAGAUCGUAUUGAAGGGUAGAGGUUUGAGUGAUUCAUGGUUGUUAUUUAGCUCUUCGGAUGAUAUCUUAAGUUUGGGAUAGUAAUUAUUGGUCAUGCCUGCAUGGUUGAGGAUUCAUAAGUGUCUUGAGGCAUGACUGGAGUAUUUGGAUAUAUUCUCCUCCUGUUUGAUUUCUCCAUGUGAGAAUUUGGUUCCUGUUCUGAGUAUUACUUGGAUUUUUGGUUGUUCUCCAGCAUUUGAGCGUAGGCUUGCCCUGACUACUUCCUGAUUUGAUCUUGUCCAACUUCUCUCUGUUAACUUAUAGCAUUCCAAACAUGUUCUUUCUUGUCAGUAGCUUUUAGUUCCAUGCGAAUGUGGCAUGCAGUGAGAAUAAUUCAAACCAAUGUGCAUAUAACUUAACUAAACCAGGCUUAUCCCCAUCUCCUUGCUAGUUUUGAUGUUUCAGUUUUCUCCAAAAUGGUUACGCAUCAUGUCUUCUGUUCGUUGCUGCGUGAAGAGGUUUUAUUGGAAGCUUGUAGAGUUGGAAAAUCUAGCACUACGUCAGUUGAUGCGGGGACUUGGUCAAGCUAAUGGAUUGUCUGCUUCCUGGCAGUUUGACUUCUGAUAAUCUUGAUCUUGAGACAUGGUUUGGUCUUUGUGGCAGCUUUCAGUUUGAACUUGCAUUCAGUGGUAGUUUGGAGUUAGUAGUGUGCGCAUCUCAUUUUCCAACCGUCCUGAAGCAUCUUACUUGGUUUCUGCUUCAACUUGCAUGUGGUUUGGACAGAAUAUGAUCUCAUCUUUUGCUCCGAAUCAACAAAAUGCUAGAAGUAAUGAUGUCCUAACUGGAAAUUCCUUCAUUAGUCUCAAACAAGGGUUCAACAAUGGAAAUAUCAGUUCAUACUAAUUACUACUUGGUUGCCGUACUGUUUCUGGAAGUUGGGUUUUAAUAUUAGGCUGCUAUCUAUAAUUUUAUCUCUAGCGUCUUGCAGAUUUAUUACCUAAUACAUGUAUAUGAGCUCUGAAUGCAGUAAAAGACUUGUCGGGCUACUAUUCUACAUAUUCUUGUCCACACUUGGUUUGUUUAUUUAACUAUUUUCCUGGCGAGUUCUUUUGGAUCAUCUUAUGACGCACAAUCAAUUUUGGAUGUGCACAGAUUUCUAACUUCGGUGAUAAAGAAAGAUCCCACCUAGUUUGCUGGCUCUCUCACUUGAGUUGGUUUAACAGUUAGGUAAUGUUGAUGACUUGAUAUGCAGAGAAGAGGCUAAGGAAUUAUUGCCAUGUACUAAAACAAUGGAGAGUUGAAGCUUCUAAACUGGAAGCUUGAAUAAAUAGUUUGCCCUGAACACUACUCCUGAUUUCUUAGAUUACUGUCAUCUCAACUAAUUAUGUUACCGGUUUGGUGGUACGGAAUUGAUUUUCAGAAAAUGAUGUUCUUCUCAUUGGUGCUUCUCCAGUGGGAUCUGGAUUACAUCACACUAUGCAUCUUCUCGGUUUGCUGGGGAACUUCCUAGUUUUAAUAUGACAACUAGCAAAACAGUCUGGCUAAUUUCAUGAUUCCUGCUGAUUUUGUACUUUCAACUCAAGUAGCUCACGUUCCUGGAUUAAAGACAAAAAUGCGUUCACACAUACAUGAUUCCUGCUGAUUGUCUAACUUUCAACUCAAGUAGCUCACAUUCCUGGAUUAAAGACAAAAAUGCUUUCACACAUACCUUCUUCUGAUGUCUAAUCUGAUCUGGUUUAUGGGAUCUUCAACUACAUAUUCUCAAAUCUUUAAUUACAUAUAAUAUUGGUUUUCUGUGAACUCCCUAAUUUCAAUUUCCUUGGCAACUAGCAAAAAUACUAAUGAUUACUGCCAAUUGCAUAGCUUAUCUCCAGUUAUACAUAGGCCACACAUUAUAUUUCAUAGUCUGGAUUUUUAGGUCACAAAAGUAUCUCCUUUGACCCUCUAAUGGGAUAAAACUGUGAAAGAUAAUCAUCCUCCAGAUGUUGGUAUAUAUUCUUAUUUUCAAGAUUAAAGGUUUGAAUCACCCUCACCCCACUAUAGAAAUUAGUUUCUCAUCCAGGUUCUGGAAUUUAUAGCUUUCUUUGUUUGUGCCCCUAUGUC
Molecule: long non-coding RNA, 26263 nt
Filed under: Hordeum vulgare
Lineage: Eukaryota; Viridiplantae; Streptophyta; Magnoliopsida; Poales; Poaceae
Description: long non-coding RNA (HVUL_LNC010918)
Source: RNAcentral